RNAcentral lists this long non-coding RNA (2222 nucleotides) under Sus scrofa (pig). RNAcentral describes it as "lncRNA (ENSSSCG00030057734.1, ENSSSCG00040007633.1)". Lineage: Eukaryota; Metazoa; Chordata; Mammalia; Artiodactyla; Suidae. The record is from RNAcentral.
AAUAUGCAAAUACAUUUUAUCUGUUUAUACACAACCAGAGGCCACUGUAACAUCUAAGUUUUUUUCACCCUGUAAGAAUCAACCUUUGCCCCUGUUGGGGUUCACAUUGCCCCCCUUGCUUCUAUGUGAUUUAGAUGAAGAUGUUAGCACAAAAAUUUGUCUCCUAGAUUGCUUAUAGCCCGACAUUAUUGUAAAAGGGGUUUAUAUUCUGUUUUGUUCUUUAUGUAUCUCAAGCAUAUAAAUCAAACGGCAUAUAUUGACUGCCAUCAGAUCCUUUAGUGUGACCCAAACAGCCAUUCAACACAGAAUACCUUGUUCAGAUCCUUCAUGAAAUCAUUUUUAAUUCCUCAAGUGUAGUUCUCCAAUGAAGAUUUUGACUGCUUCUUAUUUCUCAGAUUUUCUAAUAUUAUCUCGUUUUUGUUUUCACAACAUCAUGAGUAAUAAUUUGGAAACAUAGACAUAGAUCAAAAAUUCUUCAAACGGACAGUUCUUCCUCUUUGUCCAUAACCUCCACUGGCUAACCUCAACUACACAAAAAUCACAGCAACAAGCAGUUAGAGUAAUUCAAAGAACACACACAUACUCACAAACUAAAAAAGAGGCAUAAUUUUAUUUGGCAAACCCAGACUGUGGCCAAAAUUGUUAUGUAAAGUAUAAUGCUUCAAAAAAUAGCCUACCCACAACUAUGCAACAUGGAGGCUCCUUAUGAAAGAAAGUAGAGAUUGAGGGGGAGGGGAGAACCUCCACAGGAAGAUGAAAGGGACAGCGUCCAGGUCUGGCAAAGCUCAAGUGGAAGACAUUUAGAAAGGGAAUGGGUUGAGGACUUCAAUAAAUGGGAAGAAGUUCCCUCUUCCCUGGACAUAUUUAGGGUCUGAGGACCAAAGGGAUUUAGAUCCUUUCCUAGGAUAACAAACAUGCACACGAGGAGCCCCAGCAAAACGCAGAUGGAGGCUAUGAACUCCGAAAGAACACCCUAGGGACUAAAGCAUGAACAUCAGAAAAGCACGGAGAAUGCCUAAGAAAGUCUUCCUCAGAUUCCACCAUCAUAGUCUGACUUACACGCCCAGAACUUUACAGUUUCAGACAAAAGAUUUUGCCAGUUUCCUACACCCAUCACUGAAAUGACCCGUUAUUAAAACCAUUGAUUUAAAAACCUAUGAGUAAAAUAUGUUAGAGACUUUCUCCCAGGGGCAACAGAAUUUGGGAUGAAGAGUUGGGGAGGGAUGGAUCUAUGUUACCUUGUCAUCUACGGAGUGAUUACAGCAGAAAAAUUCAGGUAGAAAUACUGGAGAUGGGGUGCAUGAGCAAAAUGUGCCUUGGUACUCUUCCAACACCUUGGUUUUUCCCCUUCAUCUGCAGAUCUCUCUACCACCCCCCUGGGUCCACCCUUCAGCCCCCAGGCACCUGCCCUCUUCACUCCUGGAUGAGAGAAGUGUUUCCAUCUCAGACACACUGACAUGGCUGACUUAUAAACCUUCUGUUGGCCUAGGGCAUAUGGUUCACAAAGUGGUCUCCUAAAUCGGUGAUAGAUAUGAACAAAUAAAAUGCUCCAUGGGAAAGUAAUAUUGAGAAAUCCAGGGAGAAUAAAUUUAAGCAGGUUUCCCAAUAGGCUAACAAACACUUGAUCCUUCAAGAGGAACAUGUAUUAUAGUUUCCCAACAUAUUGGAAGAUAGCUUGAAAAAUGCUAAAACACAACAUUCUAUUUCACUUUCCACUGACUAAUAGUAUUUGUUCAUGUGAAUUUUCUUUUGAGAUUAGGGGCAGAACAAUAACUCUGUGGUUACCUGGGCUCUAAAUGAGUAUUCAAUUAUUUCAAUUUGACAAAUUUUAAAAACUUAGCUUUCUUUAGCUUUUCUAUUCAAUCUAAAGUUCUUGAUCUUCAAACUGUAUAUCUAUAACUAAUACCAUGAGAAUUCUGUUAUUUCACUUUCACCUGUAUCAAAAUACCAUUCAUUGGAGAUCCCGUUGUGGCUCAGUGUUUAAUGUAUCCUACUAGGAACCAUAAAGUCGCGGGUUCAAUCCCUGGUCUUGCUCUGUGGGUUAGGGAUCCGGCAUUACCAUGAGCUGUGGUGUGGGUCGCAGGUGUGGCUUGGAUCCCACGUUGCUCUGGCUCUGGUGUAGGUCAGCAGCUACAGCUCCGAUUAGACCCCUAGCCUGGGAAUCUCCAAACGCUGUGGGAGUGGCCCUAGAAAAGGCAAAAAGACAAAAAAAAAUUUACAUU